Molecule: long non-coding RNA, 530 nt
Organism: Cynoglossus semilaevis (tongue sole)
Lineage: Eukaryota; Metazoa; Chordata; Actinopteri; Pleuronectiformes; Cynoglossidae
Exons: 2
Source: RefSeq, a predicted model, not a curated record
CAUAAAAACGGAAGUUGUGAAGAUGAAACAAACUCCAUUUCGGUGGCGUACCUACAGUGGUGAUGAAUCCUCGUAAAUUUACCGCUGGGAAACGCCUGGCGAAACCACUUCUGCUUGGGACGCUAUUUGCUGGAUUAGCCACAGGUUUCGUUUACAGACACACCUUCUUUCCAGAUGUGCCAGAGCUCAGGGCUCAGCAGCAGGCCAGAAAUAAUGUCAAGCUGUUGGAAGUGCUGGAGAUGAGACAGAGGCAGAUGGAGGCGAUUGCUGAUAAGAGAAGAGGGACGAGCUGAGAUGAAGGCUGAUGAUGUUGAGCAGAUUUUCUGUUGUGGACUCGUGUUUGUGAUUCAUGUGUGACACGUGAAGGCUUUGGAAUUGUCAUGUGCAAACAUCAUCUAUACAGUCAAUAUAAGCGCCGCCGAAGUCCGUCAUACAAAAAUCUGAUGUUCACACAUUAAUAUAUAACUGAUUUAUUAUAUAUGGUCUGUUUAGAUUUUUGAAUGAUAAAUAAACACAAUUCCUGAUAUGCU